GAUGAAGAACGUAGCGAAAUGCGAUAAGUAAUGUGAAUUGCAGAAUUCAGUGAAUCAUCGAAUCUUUGAACGCACAUUGCGCCCGCCAGUAUUCUGGCGGGCAUGCCUGUUCGAGCGUCAUUACAACCCUCAGGCCCCCGGGCCUGGCGUUGGGGAUCGGCGGAGCCCCCCGUGGGCACACGCCGUCCCCCAAAUACAGUGGCGGUCCCGCCGCAGCUUCCAUCGCGUAGUAGCUAACACCUCGCGACUGGAGAGCGGCGCGGCCACGCCGUAAAACACCCAACUCUUCUGAAGUUGACCUCGAAUCAGGUAGGAAUACCCGCUGAACUUAAGCAUAUCAAUAGCGGAGGA
RNAcentral lists this unclassified non-coding RNA (351 nucleotides) under soil metagenome. RNAcentral describes it as "partial contains 5.8S ribosomal RNA, internal transcribed spacer 2, and large subunit ribosomal RNA". The stretch from base 1 to 120 matches the Rfam family "5.8S ribosomal RNA", at positions 35 to 154 of the family's 154-position model. The record is from RNAcentral.